RNAcentral lists this long non-coding RNA (1003 nucleotides) under Macaca mulatta (Rhesus monkey). RNAcentral's name for it is "lncRNA (ENSMMUG00000062290.1)". Lineage: Eukaryota; Metazoa; Chordata; Mammalia; Primates; Cercopithecidae. The record is from RNAcentral.
UCCUUUUCUCCCUUCCUUCCUUCUUUUAUUUCUUUUUCACUUUCAGACUUCCACUGGUGCUCAGGGUACAUGGAGCAGCAUCAGGGGAGUAAGGAAAAGUCUGGAGCCCUCUGAUCAUUUCAGAGCCCUCUCCUGGGGCUCAUGGGUUAGGGCAAACCACAAGCCCAUGGCUGCUACACAGAAAUGUGGACCAGCCCUUCUAUUGAUAUGGAGAAGCCAAGCCCAGAAGAUUCACUUGACUAUUACUAAGCAAUAGAGGAAAAUGAGGAUAGUGCCUGACAGCACAUGAAGCUGACCCAAGCUGGCCCUGUGUCCCAGAGGGGUCAGAAGACAACUCAUAUAGCAGUUAAUAAAGAACAAGAAAGCUCUUUUGAUAUCUCCUUAUUUGGAAUCCCAAAGCAUAUGACUCUAACACUGCUCUCUACUAAAGGACAAAUAUUGGGCAGGGCACAACUUCUGGAGCUGCCCUGCAUGGCUGUGCAGAGGUCCCUGAAAGGUCACCUGCUGUGUGUCUUCCAGCGUCCCUGUAAGAGAGUAGACAGAGAAGUCAUGCAUCACCUUGCACUGUCCCCUUUCCUUCCCUGACUCGCUCCUCUUCAUGCUUUCUCCAGCCUGGGAUUUUAUUUCUCAAAUAAAGACAAACCUUAAUCUUAAUCCUCACCUCAGCCUUUGUUUUCCAGGAAAUCUGGACUAAAACACUGACCAGUUUUAAAAAAUGGUAACAUGUUUAUACUCUUUUCCUAUCUUUCUGCUCAAAAUUUACAUGGUACUUUGGGGAUCUGCCUGCCUAUGCGACUCCAUAUGCAACUUUUUUUUUUUUUUUUUUUGAGAUGGAGUCUUGCUCUGUUGCCCAGGCUGGAGUGCAGUGGUGAGAUCUCGGCUCACUGAAAGCUCCACCUCCCGGGUUCACUCCAUUCUCCUGCCUCAGCCUCCCGAGUAGCUGGGACUACAGGCGCCCACCACCAUGCCCUGCUAAUUUUUUGUAUUUUUAGUAGAGACGGGG